AGAGAGAGACAUGCGCGCAUAUCAAUAAGCGGAGGAAAAGAAACUAACAAGGAUUCCCUUAGUAUCGGCGAGUGAAGCGGGAAGAGCUCAAAUUUGAAAUCUUCAAGGUUCUACCUUGACGAAUUGUAGUUUAUAGAAGUGUUUUCUGUUAGUGGAGUGGCAAAAGUUCUUUGGAAUAGGACAUCAUAGAGGGUGAGAAUCCCGUAUUUGGUCAUUCCUCCUAGCGUUGUGAUACACUUUCAACGAGUCGGAUUGUUUGGGAAUGCAGUCCAAAAUGGGUGGUAAAUUUCAUCUAAAGCUAAAUAUUGGCGAGAGACCGAUAGCGAACAAGUACCGUGAGGGAAAGAUGAAAAGAACUUUGAAAAGAGAGUUAAACAGUACGUGAAAUUGUCAAAAGGGAAGCGUUUGACACCAGUGUUGUUUUUCCGAAAAUCAAUUACGAAUGUUUUAUUUUUGAGGAGUUAUGACUUCAUCGGCUUGCUCCUUCCUUUACGAAACUUUCUUAAUGCACUUUUCGGUUAACAAGUCAACAUCAAUUUCUUUUGUUGUAAAAGGGUAUGAGGAAGGUGGCUUUCUUUUCGGAGAAAGUGUUUAUAGCCUUGUGCCUCUGCAAUCGGAGAGAUUGAGGUCUGCAGCGUAGAUCCUUCGGGGUUAGAUACGUUUGUGCUAAGUUAUAGCUUUUCAUAGACAACUUGUUGACUAUGUUUAGUCUUGUAGCUUACUCGCUGACGCUAUUUUACCUACGCUUAGGAUGUUGAUAGUCACAGCGUGUAC
Molecule: ribosomal RNA, 774 nt
Filed under: uncultured Neocallimastigales
Lineage: Eukaryota; Fungi; Neocallimastigomycota; Neocallimastigomycetes; Neocallimastigales
Description: partial large subunit ribosomal RNA
Rfam family: Eukaryotic large subunit ribosomal RNA
Source: RNAcentral